AUUGAACGCUGGCGGCAGGCCUAACACAUGCAAGUCGAGCGAGCGGCGGACGGGUGAGUAAUGUAUGGGGACUGCCCGAUAGAGGGGGAUAACUACUGGAAACGGUGGCUAAUACCGCAUACUAUCGGAUAACCCAUAUGGGAUUAGCUAGUAGGUGGGGUAAAGGCUCACCUAGGCGACGAUCACUAGCUGGUCUGAGAGGAUGAUGAGCCACACUGGGACUGAAAAACGGCCCAGACUCCUACGGAGGAAGCAGUGGGGACGAUUGCACAAGGGGCGCAAGCCUGAGGCAGCAAUGCGUGGUGUAUGAGGAAGGCCUUAGGGUUGUAAAGUACGUUCAGCGGGGAGGCGGUACCCACAGAAGAAGCACCGGCUAACUACGUGCCAGCAGCCGCGGGAAUAC
RNAcentral lists this ribosomal RNA (403 nucleotides) under uncultured bacterium. RNAcentral's name for it is "partial 16S ribosomal RNA". It matches the Rfam family "Bacterial small subunit ribosomal RNA", at positions 29 to 526 of the family's 1533-position model. The record is from RNAcentral.